This 253-nucleotide ribosomal RNA is filed under the name uncultured bacterium. RNAcentral describes it as "partial 16S ribosomal RNA". It matches the Rfam family "Bacterial small subunit ribosomal RNA", at positions 524 to 776 of the family's 1533-position model. The record is from RNAcentral.
UACGAAGGGGGCUAGCGUUGUUCGGAAUCACUGGGCGUAAAGCGCACGUAGGCGGAUCUUUAAGUCAGGGGUGAAAUCCCGAGGCUCAACCUCGGAACUGCCUUUGAUACUGGGGAUCUCGAGUCCGGGAGAGGUGAGUGGAACUGCGAGUGUAGAGGUGAAAUUCGUAGAUAUUCGCAAGAACACCAGUGGCGAAGGCGGCUCACUGGUCCGGAACUGACGCUGAGGUGCGAAAGCGUGGGGAGCAAACAGG